UACGUAGGUGGCGAGCGUUGUCCGGAUUUACUGGGCGUAAAGGGAGCGUAGGCGGAUUUUUAAGUGAGAUGUGAAAUACUCUGGCUUAACCAGAGUGCUGCCUUUCAUACUGGAAGUCUAGAGUGCAGAAGAGGAGAAGGGAAUUCCUAGUGUAGCGGUGAAAUGCGUAGAGAUUAGGAAGAACACCAGUUGCGAAGGCGCUUCUCUGGACUGUAACUGACGCUGAGGCUCGAAAGCGUGGGGAGCGAACAGG
RNAcentral lists this ribosomal RNA (253 nucleotides) under uncultured bacterium. RNAcentral's name for it is "partial 16S ribosomal RNA". It matches the Rfam family "Bacterial small subunit ribosomal RNA", at positions 524 to 776 of the family's 1533-position model. The record is from RNAcentral.